ACUUGGCCUCAAAUCGAGUAGGACUACCCGCUGAACUUAAGCAUAUCAAUAAGCGGAGGAAAAGAAACUAACAAGGAUUCCCCUAGUAACGGCGAGUGAAGAGGGAAGAGCUCAAAUUUUAAAUCUGGCGUCCUUGGCGUCCGAAUUGUAAUCUAGAGAAGUGUUUUCCGUGACGGACCGUGCACAAGUCUCCUGGAAUGGAGCGUCAUAGAGGGUGAGAAUCCCGUAUAUGGCACGGACUGCCGUUGCUCUGUGAUACACUCUCGACGAGUCGAGUUGUUUGGGAAUGCAGCUCUAAAUGGGUGGUAAAUGCCAUCUAAAGCUAAAUAUUGGCGAGAGACCGAUAGCGAACAAGUACCGUGAGGGAAAGAUGAAAAGCACUUUGGAAAGAGAGUGAAACAGUACGUGAAAUUGUUGAAAGGGAAACGCUUGAAGUCAGUCGCGCCGUUCGGGAUUCAGCCUUGCUUCUGCUCGGUUCACUUCCCGUUGGGUGGGUCAACAUCAGUUUUGGUCAGAGGAGAAAGGCUUGGGGAAGGUGGCAGCAUUCGUGCUGUGUUAUAGCCCCUCGUUGUAUACUUUGACCGGGACUGAGGACCGCAGCACGCCUUUGGCCGGGGUUCGCCCACGUACGUGCUU
This 636-nucleotide ribosomal RNA is filed under the name Sebacina pallida. RNAcentral describes it as "eukaryotic LSU rRNA". It matches the Rfam family "Eukaryotic large subunit ribosomal RNA", at positions 1 to 614 of the family's 3401-position model. Lineage: Eukaryota; Fungi; Basidiomycota; Agaricomycetes; Sebacinales; Sebacinaceae. The record is from RNAcentral.